CCUACGGGAGGCAGCAGUGGGGAAUAUUGGGCAAUGGGCGCAAGCCUGACCCAGCAACGCCGCGUGAAGGAAGAAGGCUUUCGGGUUGUAAACUUCUUUUCUCAGGGACGAAGCAAGUGACGGUACCUGAUGAAUAAGCCACGGCUAACUACGUGCCAGCAGCCGCGGUAAUACGUAGGUGGCAAGCGUUAUCCGGAUUUACUGGGUGUAAAGGGCGUGUAGGCGGGGACGCAAGUCAGAUGUGAAAACAACGGGCUGAACCUGUGGCCUGCAUUUGAAACUGUGUUUCUUGAGUACUGGAGAGGCAGACGGAAUUCGUAGUGUAGCGGUGAAAUGCGUAGAUAUGAGGAGGAACACCAGUGGCGAAGGCGGUCUGCUGGACAGCAACUGACGCUGAGGCGAGAAAGCGUGGGGAGCAAACAGGAUUAGAUACCCGAGUAGUC
RNAcentral lists this ribosomal RNA (443 nucleotides) under uncultured bacterium. RNAcentral describes it as "partial 16S ribosomal RNA". It matches the Rfam family "Bacterial small subunit ribosomal RNA", at positions 338 to 795 of the family's 1533-position model. The record is from RNAcentral.